CCUACGGGGGGCAGCAGUGAGGAAUAUUGGUCAAUGGGCGUAAGCCUGAACCAGCCAAGUAGCGUGCGGGAUGACGGCCCUACGGGUCGUAAACCGCUUUUGUACGGGGAUAACACCCUCCACUUGUGGAGUUUUGCAGGUACCGUGUGAAUAAGGGCCGGCUAAUUCCGUGCCAGCAGCCGCGGUAAUACGGAGGGCCCGAGCGUUAUCCGGAUUUAUUGGGGUUAAAGGGAGCGUAGGCGGGGCGUUAAGUCAGGCGGUAAAUUCUGGGGGCCAACCCUGGCACCGCAGUUGAAACUGGACGCCUUGAGUACACAACAGGCAGGCGGAAUUCGUGGUGUAGCGGUGAAAUGCAUAGAUAUCACGAGGAACCCCGAGUGCGAAGGCAGCCUGCCGGGGUGCGACUGACGCUGAGGCUCGAAGGUGCGGGUAUCAAACAGGAUUAGAUACCCGAGUAGUC
RNAcentral lists this ribosomal RNA (460 nucleotides) under uncultured bacterium. RNAcentral's name for it is "partial 16S ribosomal RNA". It matches the Rfam family "Bacterial small subunit ribosomal RNA", at positions 338 to 795 of the family's 1533-position model. The record is from RNAcentral.